This 1982-nucleotide long non-coding RNA is filed under the name Homo sapiens (human). RNAcentral's name for it is "HSALNT0374918". The record is from RNAcentral. Lineage: Eukaryota; Metazoa; Chordata; Mammalia; Primates; Hominidae.
CAUAGUACCAAUGUUAUUUAGCACAGGGUGAUGAAUAAAAAUCUUUCUGGUAAGAUGAUUGUCUAGCAGAGUUCUGAAUGAAAGAGAGAGAGGAAAAUUCUGAUAUCUGAAAGAAGAGAGUUUCAUAUAGGAAAAAUAGGAAGUCCAAAGGCCUUCACCUACUCCCUGUGUAACAGAAAGGACAUGUUUCUCACAGGGGCUGGAGAGAGAAGUCAAAUUUGUGUACAAAAGUAAUUAGAAUGAUGGGAAACUUCCACCCAGGGGACAGUAUAGACAGUGCUAGGGUGAAGACAAGAUUAAAAGGAUUUUAUUAAAUUUGAGGUAUAAUACAAGAAUUCAUAAAAAGUCAAGCAUUGAAAACUUGAGGAUGGGAUCCAAAUUCAGAACGAUAAAUAAUUUAAAAUGAGACCAGACAUAACAUUAAUUUCAAUGGGAACAAAUUAAUAAGAAAUGAAAAUAACAAUUAAGUAAUUUGAUUAAGUUUCUGCAUUCCUCAUAACAAUUCUGUGAGAUUGGUAUUUACUAUUAUAUUCUCAGUUAAGAAAUCACGAAAAUGACAUUAUGGAAAAAGAUCAUACCAGUCCAAACCUUACCCACGUGUGUGCGAUGAGAGAUGGUGCAGAUUUUUUUGCUAGUCCUGCCAUGGAUAAAUGACUGUCCAGCCUUGGUGACUCCCUUCUCCACUGGAAUCUACUUGAAGCAGCUUUCUGGGACUUCAGGAUACACAUGGGACUUCAGGAUACACAUAAGCAGUGCUACGUCUGCUGUCUUGCAACACCUGCACUGGAGUCCUCAGCUGAGACCUAAGAAGUACCAGUAACCUGAGACUGCCAUGCUGGUGAGGUCAUGUGUAGCUGUUGCCAUAUCCACUCUGAGACUGCCAUGCCGGUGAGGUCGUGUGUAGGUGUUGCCAUAUCCACUCUGAGACUGCCAUGCCGGAGAGGUCGUGUGCAGGUGUUGCCAUAUCCACUCUGAGACUGCCAUGCCGGAGAGGUCAUGUGCAGCUGUUGCCAUAUCCACUCUGAGACUGCCAUGCCGGAGAGUUCAUGUGCAGCUGUUGCCAUAUCCACUCUGAGACUGCCAUGCUGGAAAGGUCACAUGUAGGUGUUGCCAUCUCCAUUCCCAGGUGAGCCCAGACCUCCAGCAUCCCUGUCAAGGGCCAGACACACGAGUGAUGCCAUCCUUGGUCCCUGACACCGGCCUGCCCACCAGCUAUCUGUCUCUGAGUGAACGCUGUGAAUCCCCGUAAAACAGAAGAGUCUCUCAGCUGAGUGCUGCCAGUUUCUGACCCACAAAAUUGAGAAAUGUGCAAAUAAUUGUUCUUUAAGUCUACCAUGUGCUGUGGUCAUUUGUAAGAUAGCAGUAAAUGACUGGUUUACCAGGUAACAAGUGCAUUCAAACACUGCUUUUCAAAUUCUAAACGUUGGCCCUUUUUUCCUGCUUCUAAUACAGAAACAACAAAUUUAAGGAAAAGGGAAAUCAUGUAAGAAUGGUUAAAAAGUUACUAUUGUCUGUGAUCAGGCAAGCUAAUCACAAGUCAAGCAAAUAAUCCCAGAAGAAAGAAAUCAUGAAAUUGUACGUCUAAAUAACCUUACACUGUAGCAUAGUCAUGUAGACUUGGAAACUGAAGCACUAGACCAAGAAUGAAGAACUGAAGAGAAAGAAAAUUGUCAGUGUUUACAGGGCACUAACCAACAGAGAGAGAGAGAGCGAUUCCAACCUUAGGGAAUGACCCUAAGAAACAGUUUCUCAAAAUCAGGGUGAGUCAGAAACUGAACUUUCUGUAACCCUCUGUAAUAUCUGUAAGAAAGAUUCAUUUCACUAGCAGCUCUGAAAUACUUAGGUUGGUUCUCAAAGCCAACUGAUGCCAGGAAGCUAGUGGAGGGCUUAAAAUCCUCCUCAACAGCUCAUUGGAAUUCUUUGAAUAUGAUUCUGUGGAUCAGCCUACUUGGACUCAAGUAAACUGGAAGAUAUUUUAAAAA